UAUGUUAUGCCAUCACUUGUUCCAUGUUUCUGUACUGCUCUUAUUAAACUUGGAUAUCGUUUAAAAAGCCCUAGCAUCUCUAUGCUUCUGCCAUACGUUUUAUGCUUUUAUAUUUGCUCAUGUUUGGCCUUGAUUUGGAUCUUGAUGUCAUGCUGGCAUCAAUUGCUGGUAUAGUUGUAGUUUCUUCUCUCAUUGAAGAAAGCAUACUAAAGAGUAUAGUAAAAUUAACAAAAAACAUCUAUGUAAGUACCCUUGUUUUUGUUCAUGUAUUUGCAUGUGUAAUUGGUUUUCUAGUGUUCAGGACUUAAAGCUACAUAAUUAGUUUGACUUGGAGAUGUUUCCUUCUUCCCUUUUUCAAUGCUAAAACAUGAGUUGAUUGUAGAAGCAUUAGCUUUGGUUAUUCACAUGUAAGCUGAUUGGUGGGUCAAUGUCUAAUUUGAUUUAAGUUCAGAAGUGGUGGUCGUCAACAACAACGUUAUGAUGCUUGGGGUUGUUUACGGCAUUGGAUUUUUGUACCAUAAAGUUGAGACCUUAGCUGACGAUGCCUCUUUUUUUACGUACUAAAGUUUUAUCCUUCUUUUUGAAUUUUUAGUGUUUUUUGAUAGAAGAACCUAACCCAAACCAUUUGUGAAACUUUCAAUCAGUUGAAUACCCAACUUUUCUGGGAACUCCUCACCCUUAAACCAAUCUUUUGUAUAGAAGACCCUACUUUUAUGGGAGAUUUGGUGAAGUUCGUUCUUUUAACCAGCCAAGUUUUACAUUCACCCAUCUCUUUAGGGAGUACAGUUCCUUUCUCCUGGUGAUAUACCAUUUGAUGUCAAGAACUUUUGUAAAAGAGAAACUUUUCAGUUUUGCUUAAAAACAUUUUGAAAGUGUUUUCUCACACAAUGAUGUGCCUUGCUUUAUUCUUAGUACCUUUCCAAGUGGAAGGUGGAAAUUUCAAAUUUUUGUUGUCCAUCAAUGGAAGAGGAAAAUCGAACAAAUCCGGAUAUGAGCAGUGAAGAAAAAUCCUAUGAAGUUGAGAAAGUCAAGACUAGGAAAUGCUAUUGACUCUAGCGAUUAAGCAUUUGCAAGGAUUUAGCAGGAAAAUAUAUUGAGGGAGAAGCCAAAAUGCUCUAUAAGAUCUUGGCAGGUAGUAAAAUGAGAGUUGAGAGAUGGGCUCGGAGCUUGUGUAGUCGUUCCUCUGAGUUAGUAAUCGAGAGUACCGGGUAGACAUAAAGGUGAUUUAUGUCUAUUUCGCGAAGAUAAUGAUUUACGAACUUUUGGUUCGUUGAAAACCCGUAAGGUGAAGCGGGUUGGACACGUGACAAAACUACACAUAACUACCAAAGUGGUGGAGCUUCGUAGUAGCCUUUGGGGUGGUGAGGUAUUCCCUCAAAGGUGAAGGUCAGCCCAAAAAAAAAAAAAAAAAGAAAAGCAUAAGAAAAAAAAUUGAAAGGCAAAAAGUUGAAUGCAAAAGAAAAAAAAUGAAGAAAAAAGCAAAAGGUGCUUGCCAAGAGAUGAAAGACAUGAAGGCUGAACUCGCAAGAAUUGAAUGCGACAAUCUUUCGUGGAUGUACGAUUUUGGGGUUAAUAUCUGCUCCUUGUUUUGAUUAUCUAGGAUGUCGAGGAUGGUUCCUUUUUGUUCAUAUUCUGGAAAUUGAAGGACAUUCCUUUUAAAGAUUCGACAACAUUGAUGCGAAAUAAAACCAAAUGCUUGUAUGGUACUAACGGUACAUGAAAGCUAUAUUAUUUUCACAACACGAGCACUCAAGUUUAUGAGUUGAAUUGAUUAUUUUUGAACUAUUUCAAAAUUCAAUGUAAAAACUUGACGUAUCUUGUAUGCUUCCAGGAUUCCUAGGCAUAGCAAUAACUAACCAAUCCCCUUUAGUCUUGAAAAUGUUUGACCAUUUUGUUACCAAAUUGUUAGUCCUUCUGUGAAAUAGAUGAAACCCCUCAAACCUAGUUCAACCAUGCUGAGCAUGAUGAAUUAUCCAUCAUUUCCUUUUGUCUUUGGAGAGGUAGACCAUUUGGGACAAGUGAUUAAGCUGACUCUAGAUGAUAUUUUUGAAAAGUUCUAUCGAAGUUGCAUAGUAUAUGUCCACCUAAUCUUGUUUUUGUGAGUUGUAUAAAUUUCAUCUGUUUGAUCUUUAUCCUUUGUUUCAUUCUAGCUGCUGUUAAAAUCUUUUAUGUAGUAUAGCUUUGUAAUAAAAGGAUCAGUUGAGGCAUUCAGCCCUUUGGUUUGUGCCCCCUCCCUCUUUCCCCACCUUACUAAUUUCUCGCUCCACCCAUGUUCGUAUCCAUGCAUUUUUAUGUCAUCAAUCUAGGGCUUGAAUUUUUUUUAUUCCUCUAGCUUGGGUUGUCCCUUUAUUGAAUUGUCUUUUGGUUGUCUUUUAUUUCCAAGAGGCCUCUACAUGGUGGAGGCUUGAUUUCUCAUUUUGGAUUUGAGACUGACUACAUAAAUUUUAUAUGAGGUAAAUGGUUCCAGCUUGGUGUAUUUAGACAAUGCAGCUACAUCUCAAAAGCCAUAUGCUGUUUUGGAAGUUCUUCAUGAUUAUGUGAGGGCUACAGCUCAAAUGGUCACCACAAUAUUCAUUAUUUAAGCAUGAACAUAAACCAUGAGAAGAGAAUUCGUUUUGUUGAUACUCUAGCCAUCUAGAAUCUGCAAUACAACAUCAGAUUGGCAGACGUACACGCAAGGGUGCGCUUCCACAGGAAAUCAAAGCUUGAGAGAUUUUGGCAAAUAGUGGCAAUGUUUAAAGCCACAUUUGAUGUGCUCUCUCUCCCCAUCUACCACAGGUGAUCAGGCAGACCUUUUGGAGUGUUGGUGUCAUUCGGUUUCAACUUAUAACAUAAAGGCCUCCUUUUCUAGGAGCAACCAGGAAUAGGAAGCGCGUGCUUUAUUGGGAUGGCUGAGUACCAGAGGUAACUAUGCUGCUCCUCUCCAGGUGUUCCGUGGGAUUGAUAUACAGAGUUUGAUACCCAAGAUGACUAAAUCUAUAGCUGAUAGGGUCCAGCGUCAAAAAGCUCGAUUUAAAAGCCAGAAGGUGCAAAAAAAAUACAAUGUCUAUGCAUUCUGUGAGUCUCUUGCUUGAAGCUAUCUUACUUAAAGCAAGAUCACUGGAACAGCUUGGUUUAAGAAAAGUCAAGUUUUCUGAAAGCAGACAGAACUUGAUCAAGAACUUUGAACAUUCUCUUUCCUUGGUUGAUUGGAACUAUUAUCCAAUUACACAGUUUAUACAGCAGUAACAGCACUAUAACACCAAGGGAAUAAUGUUGGGACUGUCAUUGACAGAUCUCACAGAACCAAGAAGAUUCCUCAACGUUGACAGGCCGUUGUUAUUAUGUCACAGACAUCACAGAAUAUGAAAAAACAGACUGUGAUACUGAAACUUGUGAUUCUCAAUGACAUGCGUGAUCUCCAUAUGCUGAUGAAGCACAGGUUGUGAUUCUUUAGCCCUUUGAAAGGCAAAAGAAUAAUGGUUUUACAGCUUUUUGGGCAAGAGGAUGAUAGUGGCUACAUGGUGGUUCUGUUGGUUUCGCUUUUCUUUUCCAUUAUUGUUUUUAAUGUUGUAGAAUCAUCCUAUUAAGUGUUUGGUGUGUGGUCACACCAUGAUGAAGACUAUUCUAGGAGGCGAAUUAUUAAAAAAUUACUUGCAAGCAGCGGGAAACUUGUAAAAGCACGUAGGCAGUAGUCAGGACAAGAAAUGCCUGUGGGGACAAAUUACUGCCAAAAAGAAAUUAAAAUGUGUUCAUUUUGUUUUAAGAAGGAUUUCAAGUUCUUUUAUCUUCA
This is an RNA transcript of Nymphaea colorata (pocket water lily), 3772 nucleotides long. RefSeq lists it as uncharacterized. The transcript is spliced from 7 exons. The record is from RefSeq and is a predicted model, not a curated record. NCBI's taxonomy places the organism in Eukaryota, Viridiplantae, Streptophyta, Magnoliopsida, Nymphaeales, Nymphaeaceae.